GACGAACGCUGGCGGCGUGCUUAACACAUGCAAGUCGAACGGAAAGGCCUCUUUCGGGGGGUACUCGAGUGGCGAACGGGUGAGUAACACGUGAGUAACCUGCCCUUGACUUUGGGAUAACUUCAGGAAACUGGGGCUAAUACCGGAUAGGAGCUCCUGCUGCAUGGUGGGGGUUGGAAAGUUUCGGCGGUUGGGGAUGGACUCGCGGCUUAUCAGCUUGUUGGUGGGGUAGUGGCUUACCAAGGCUUUGACGGGUAGCCGGCCUGAGAGGGUGACCGGCCACAUUGGGACUGAGAUACGGCCCAGACGCCGACGGGAGGCAGCAGUGGGGAAUAUUGCACAAUGGGUGGAAGCCGGAUGCAGCAACGCCGUGUGCGGGAUGACGGCCUUCGGGUUGUAAACCGCUUUCGCUCAUGACGAAGCUUUGUGUGACGGUAGUGGGUAAAGAAGCACCGGCUAACUACGUG
Molecule: ribosomal RNA, 467 nt
Filed under: uncultured bacterium
Lineage: Bacteria
Description: partial 16S ribosomal RNA
Rfam family: Bacterial small subunit ribosomal RNA
Source: RNAcentral